ACCAGGAGCCGUGUGGAGCCACGCUGGUGCCGCGAGGCUGUGCCGCCGCUGCGGGGCCGGGCCGUCGGGCCGAGCGUGCCGCGCUCUGUGCGGGAGCAGUGAUGCUGUUUGAAAUGAACAGGGCUAAUGCCUUUAUUAAUGUUCAGCUCUUUAUUAAAAAGAUCAGCUGGGCAGGGGGCUCGACGCAGAGCUUGCCCCCGCGCUGUCCUUUCUUCUUUCCUUGUGGCACACUGGUGGGCUGAGGAUGAGGAGGCGUGGCAUGCAGAGUCUGUUGCUGAAGUCCAGAACAACAGCUGUCCCCGCUCCUUCUGUGGUGGCAGCACCAGGGCUCUCUCUCCCUAUAUCCCUGCUUCUCAGAGCCUAAUAUAGUCUGUUCUUUCUUAGGUGAUGGCGACGGUUAAAAGUCAAUCAGGUGAUGUGUUUCCCUCUUCCUCAGCUAGGGCAUUUGUCUAGACUCCUCUAUUGUGUUCAGUUUUUGAUUUAUAUUCCUCUUUAUCUCCUAAAAAUCCUCCCAUGAUCCUAAGGGGUUUUUAUUUGCAUGUUAGUCCCAGAAUGGCAGCGUGGAGGGGUGGGAGGCCAGUUAUCUCCAGGUAGUUUAGAGAAAACAAACAGAGCAAUUAGCUAAUUAGCAUUUCAAUAUAGGUACUUAGCUAGAGUUAGUAGGUUUUUUAGUGUUGCCCUGGGGACGAGGAAGGCCCUGCCUGAGUCUCUGGGGAACACGUGGAAACUGUUCAUAACACUGUUGAGCAGGACGGGAACAGAGAACUCCAGAUCAGAAGGCUAAGAAAACGAGCUCUGAUUUAUUUCAAAUUUACCGCUCUAUAUAUAGAGAACUUCAAGACGACUAAUUUCAUUUGUCGUAAAAACAUGUCACACCAUUGGUGUGCAGUGAAUGACGCACAGUGGCAGAGCAUAUCCAAUGUGAAUAACGAGAUAGAUUAGAGAAUUAUAUACAUUCUUUCCCAACUGUUUUCCAGGCUGUCGCCUGGUUAGAAAACCAUUCUCUUUCUUUCUGACUUAGCUGAGAAUACCCACAGAGCAGUGCUUCAAUCUGGACUGAAAACGGGAGCAGAGCCUCCCCAUAGUAAGUCAGUGGACCCUCUGCCACCCACGAGGGAGCACACGGAUGCUUUUCCCUUCGUGGGAGGGGAAGUGAAAACUUUCACAGCCACGGAGUGCCGAAGGAAGGAAGCUUCCUGGGACUGAGGACCCUGGUGGCAGCUUUUUGUUUGCAGAGACUCCAAUCUGGUGUCCUCUCUUGGUCUCUUUAUCUCGGGCCUAGUAGCGCCCUCAGAACAGUGCAGCCUGUAUCGCAGUGAACCAGCUGCUACCUGGAAUCUCAGCAGAGACCCAGGGGCAGCGGUGUGUGUUGCCUAGCACCGGCCCCCUACGGCGACCGCUGGCCGGCGCUGGGAAGGAUGGAGGCCGUGUGGGGACAAAAGUUGUCCCAGUUCCCCUAUCCCCAAACAUCAGGAGGAACCACCCCCAUCAUCAUCGCAGCAGGCCUUCUCCAUCUGCAAAGAGCAGCCAUCGCAGCAGCAGAGGAAAACACCAGGAGCAGAAGAAGCAACCAGACAAGCAGUGAAGAAGUCAAAACGACUGUCUUCUUUAUGGAUUUUAAAGCGGCGAGAUGUUGCAUCCCGGACUUUGGGUUUAGGUCGGGGUUCUGACGUGUGUUAGCAGAUUCUGUGCACCCCCGAGUAUCCCCCGGCUUCUCCUCACUGUGGUAGCUGGUUUCUGGGUUGCCUUACCAUGUGGGACUGGCUCCCAUCCCCCCUCUCCCUUCCUGUGGGUCCUUUGCUGCUGUUACCCUUCCCCCGUGGCCGGGGUGGCCCCGGCCCUAGAGCCAGCUCCAGCCGCAUGCCCAGUGGACCCCUCCAGGCCACGUCACACCCCCUGCGGACGUGGGGUUGCCCCGGGCCCUGGCGCUGCCCCUGCCGUGCUCCUAUUGGCUGCCCCAAGCCACGCCACGCCUCGGGACCGCCAUGGCACUGCCCCGGGCCUCCGUGCUGUCCCUCACUGCGUCCCUAUUGGCUUCCCCAGACCACAUGACACCCCCAGCUCCACCCCCCAUAAAAACCCCUCGCGGUCGGGACCACGCGGCCAUAUUCCCCAACACAGAA
This is a long non-coding RNA of Vidua chalybeata, 2123 nucleotides long. RefSeq lists it as uncharacterized. Lineage: Eukaryota; Metazoa; Chordata; Aves; Passeriformes; Viduidae. The record is from RefSeq and is a predicted model, not a curated record. The transcript is spliced from 3 exons.